This 248-nucleotide ribosomal RNA is filed under the name uncultured bacterium. Its description in RNAcentral is "partial 16S ribosomal RNA". It matches the Rfam family "Bacterial small subunit ribosomal RNA", at positions 525 to 772 of the family's 1533-position model. The record is from RNAcentral.
ACGUAGGUGGCAAGCGUUAUCCGGAUUUAUUGGGUGUAAAGGGCGUGUAGGCGGGAGCGCAAGUCAGAUGUGAAAACUCAGGGCUCAACCCUGAGCCUGCAUUUGAAACUGUGUUUCUUGAGUGCUGGAGAGGCAAUCGGAAUUCCGUGUGUAGCGGUGAAAUGCGUAGAUAUACGGAGGAACACCAGUGGCGAAGGCGGAUUGCUGGACAGUAACUGACGCUGAGGCGCGAAAGCGUGGGGAGCAAA